This is a long non-coding RNA of Cyprinus carpio carpio, 626 nucleotides long. NCBI's taxonomy places the organism in Eukaryota, Metazoa, Chordata, Actinopteri, Cypriniformes, Cyprinidae. The record is from Ensembl.
GAUGACUGUAGCACUGAGCGGAGCGUUCUCAAUAAAGAAUGCUGCUGAAGAUUACCCAAGAGUCUCCUGGUCUUCGCUUCUGAGUUUCCAACAGUUUUGGUGCCGUGACCCGGAUAGAGCUUCUCACCUGAAUCCAGAUUGACUUCGUUCCAGACUGAAUCUUUCUGUACAACCAAGGGUUGGUAUGUGUGCAUGAGAUGUCAUCUCCAUAAGCAGCACCCUGGUGUAAAGCAUCACCUCAGACAUCCAUGAACAAGCUUCAUGAGGACCAAGAAUCAUCUGCAUGAAUCUACAUGGGAAAUGGACUACAGAAAACAGACUUCACAGGUCACCGUAGCCACCAGAUCCAGUCUGUAUCCAGAUCAGAUGGUCACUGUAGUCACCCGGAUCCAGUCUGUAUCCAGCCCAGAUGGUGGAUCAGCACCUAGAAAGGACCUCUACAGCCCUGAAAGACAUUGGUGACCAGGAAGACUAGAUGAGCCCCAGAUACCCUGUAAAGACCUUGUAUCAGACGACCACCAGGACAAGACCACAGGAAACAGAUGAUUCUUCUGCACAAUCUGACUUUGCUGCAGCCUGGAAUUGAACUGCUGGUUUUGUCUGGCCAGAGGAGAACUGGCCCCCCA